UAGGGUUAGAAACUUGGCUCUGCACGGGAUCUGAUUACUUUU
RNAcentral lists this non-coding RNA (42 nucleotides) under Spodoptera frugiperda (fall armyworm). The record is from RNAcentral. Lineage: Eukaryota; Metazoa; Arthropoda; Insecta; Lepidoptera; Noctuidae.